GAUGAACGCUGGCGGCGUGCCUAAUACAUGCAAGUCGAGCGAACGGACGAGAAGCUUGCUUCACUGAUGUUAGCGGCGGACGGGUGAGUAACACGUGGAUAACCUACCUAUAAGACUGGGAUAACUUCGGGAAACCGGAGCUAAUACCGGAUAAUAUUUUGAACCGCAUGGUUCAAAAGUGAAAGACGGUCUUGCUGUCACUUAUAGAUGGAUCCGCGCUGCAUUAGCUAGUUGGUAAGGUAACGGCUUACCAAGGCAACGAUGCAUAGCCGACCUGAGAGGGUGAUCGGCCACACUGGAACUGAGACACGGUCCAGACUCCUACGGGAGGCAGCAGUAGGGAAUCUUCCGCAAAGGGCGAAAGCCUGACGGAGCAACGCCGCGUGAGUGAUGAAGGUCUUCGGAUCGUAAAACUCUGUUAUUAGGGAAGAACAUAUGUGUAAGUAACUGUGCACAUCUUGACGGUACCUAAUCAGAAAGCCACGGCUAACUACGUG
RNAcentral lists this ribosomal RNA (497 nucleotides) under uncultured bacterium. Its description in RNAcentral is "partial 16S ribosomal RNA". It matches the Rfam family "Bacterial small subunit ribosomal RNA", at positions 28 to 507 of the family's 1533-position model. The record is from RNAcentral.